This 468-nucleotide ribosomal RNA is filed under the name uncultured bacterium. RNAcentral describes it as "partial 16S ribosomal RNA". It matches the Rfam family "Bacterial small subunit ribosomal RNA", at positions 28 to 507 of the family's 1533-position model. The record is from RNAcentral.
GACGAACGCUGGCGGCGUGCUUAACACAUGCAAGUCGAACGGAAAGGCCCUGCUUUUGUGGGGUGCUCGAGUGGCGAACGGGUGAGUAACACGUGAGUAACCUGCCCUUUACUUUGGGAUAACUUCAGGAAACUGGGGCUAAUACCGGAUAGGAGCUCCUGCUGCAUGGUGGGGGUUGGAAAGUUUCGGCGGUUGGGGAUGGACGCGCGGCUUAUCAGCUUGUUGGUGGGGUAGUGGCUUACCAAGGCUUUGACGGGUAGCCGGCCUGAGAGGGUGACCGGCCACAUGGGGACUGAGAUACGGCCCAGACUCCUACGGGAGGCAGCAGUGGGGAAUAUUGCACAAUGGGCGGAAGCCUGAUGCAGCAACGCCGCGUGCGGGAUGACGGCCUUCGGGUUGUAAACCGCUUUCGCCUGUGACGAAGCGUGAGUGACGGUAAUGGGUAAAGAAGCACCGGCUAACUACGUG